Molecule: ribosomal RNA, 479 nt
Filed under: uncultured bacterium
Lineage: Bacteria
Description: partial 16S ribosomal RNA
Rfam family: Bacterial small subunit ribosomal RNA
Source: RNAcentral
GAUGAACGCUGGCGGCGUGCUUAACACAUGCAAGUCGAACGAAGCACUUAAGAUUGAUUCUUCGGAUGACGUCUUUUGUGACUUAGUGGCGGACGGGUGAGUAACGCGUGGGUAACCUGCCUCACACAGGGGGAUAACAGUUAGAAAUGACUGCUAAUACCGCAUAACCCGAUAGGAUCGCAUGAUCCAGACGGAAAAGAUUUAUCGGUGUGAGAUGGACCCGCGUCUGAUUAGCUAGUUGGUGAGGUAACGGCCCACCAAGGCGACGAUCAGUAGCCGGCCUGAGAGGGUGAAUGGACACAUUGGGACUGAGACACGGCCCAAACUCCUACGGGAGGCAGCAGUGGGGAAUAUUGCACAAUGGGGGAAACCCUGAUGCAGCGACGCCGCGUGAGUGAAGAAGUAUUUCGGUAUGUAAAGCUCUAUCAGCAGGGAAGAAAAUGACGGUACCUGACUAAGAAGCCCCGGCUAACUACGUG